Molecule: ribosomal RNA, 253 nt
Filed under: uncultured bacterium
Lineage: Bacteria
Description: partial 16S ribosomal RNA
Rfam family: Bacterial small subunit ribosomal RNA
Source: RNAcentral
UACAGAGGGUGCAAGCGUUGCUCGGAAUCAUUGGGCGUAAAGGGUAGGUAGGUGGUCUCGUUUGUCUGGGGUGAAAGCCCAGGGCUUAACCCUGGAAGUGCCCCAGAAACGGCGAGACUAGAGUAUUGGAGAGGGUCGUGGAAUUCCCGGUGUAGCGGUGAAAUGCGUAGAUAUCAGGAGGAAUACCGAUGGCGAAGGCAGGUCUCUGGGCUGACACUGACGCUCAUGCACGAAAGCGUGGGGAGCAGACAGG